RNAcentral lists this transfer RNA (77 nucleotides) under Nostoc sp. CENA543. RNAcentral's name for it is "tRNA-Ser". It matches the Rfam family "tRNA". Rfam says of the family: Transfer RNA (tRNA) molecules are approximately 80 nucleotides in length. Their secondary structure includes four short double-helical elements and three loops (D, anti-codon, and T loops). Lineage: Bacteria; Bacillati; Cyanobacteriota; Cyanophyceae; Nostocales; Nostocaceae. The record is from RNAcentral.
UACAUACUAGCCUAAUUGGAAAAGGCACUUGACUUGAAAGCGAGUGAUUACAGGUUCAAAUCCUGUGUAUGAAUCAA